GACGAACGCUGGCGGCGUGCUUAACACAUGCAAGUCGAACGGAAAGGCCCUGCUUUUGUGGGGUGCUCGAGUGGCGAACGGGUGAGUAACACGUGAGUAACCUGCCCUUGACUUUGGGAUAACUUCAGGAAACUGGGGCUAAUACCGGAUAGGAGCUCCUGCUGCAUGGUGGGGGUUGGAAAGUUUCGGCGGUUGGGGAUGGGCUCGCGGCUUAUCAGCUUGUUGGUGGGGUAGUGGCUUACCAAGGCUUUGACGGGUAGCCGGCCUGAGAGGGUGACCGGCCACAUUGGGACUGAGAUACGGCCCAGACUCCUACGGGAGGCAGCAGUGGGGAAUAUUGCACAAUGGGCGGAAGCCUGAUGCAGCAACGCCGCGUGCGGGAUGACGGCCUUCGGGUUGUAAACCGCUUUCGCCUGUGACGAAGCGUGAGUGACGGUAAUGGGUAAAGAAGCACCAGCUAACUACGUG
RNAcentral lists this ribosomal RNA (468 nucleotides) under uncultured bacterium. Its description in RNAcentral is "partial 16S ribosomal RNA". It matches the Rfam family "Bacterial small subunit ribosomal RNA", at positions 28 to 507 of the family's 1533-position model. The record is from RNAcentral.